Molecule: ribosomal RNA, 458 nt
Filed under: Lomentospora prolificans
Lineage: Eukaryota; Fungi; Ascomycota; Sordariomycetes; Microascales; Microascaceae
Description: Scedosporium prolificans Eukaryotic small subunit ribosomal RNA
Rfam family: Eukaryotic small subunit ribosomal RNA
Source: Rfam by way of RNAcentral
AUAAGACGGGGGGGUCUAUUUUGUUGGUUUCUAGGACCGCCGUAAUGAUUAAUAGGGACAGUCGGGGGCAUCAGUAUUCAAUUGUCAGAGGUGAAAUUCUUGGAUCUAUUGAAGACUAACUACUGCGAAAGCAUUUGCCAAGGAUGUUUUCAUUGAUAAGGAACGAAAGUUAGGGGAUCGAAGACGAUCAGAUACCGUCGUAGUCUUAACUAUAAACUAUGCCGACUAGGGAUCGGACGAUGUUAUUCUUUGACGCGUUCGGCACCUUUCGAGAAAUCAAAGUGCUUGGGCUCCAGGGGGAGUAUGGUCGCAAGGCUGAAACUUAAAGAAAUUGACGGAAGGGCACCACCAGGGGUGGAACCUGCGGCUUAAUUUGACUCAACACGGGGAAACUCACCAGGUCCAGACACAGUGAGGAUUGACAGAUUGAGAGCUCUUUCUUGAUUCUGUGGGUGGUG